UCCCCCACGAAGAACACAACAAAACCAGUUGGAAAUACCCGGGAAUACCCGGGAGUUUUAGCUAACUAGCUAUCUUAUUAUUUAAAAAUUUCCCUCUAGUAGAUCAAUAACUAAUGAGGUAAACAACUCAGUACUUUGACCAACCUAUAUCGACUGGUUGACCUCUGACCAAUUUUGUAUCUCGUGCGCUUUGCCCAUAAACGUUUUCUGGUAUAUUUGCUGUAGCUAAUUUUUGAGAUGCCUUCAUUUUUACCUACGGUGGCCGAACAACUCUUCAAAGACAUACAGAAGACAUACCAAGAGAAAACUAAAAUUCCUGAUGACCUGCUUAUUGCGCUGAGGUUUGUGUUUGGCUCCUGUGCCCUCCAGGCCUUGGACCUGGUGGACCAGCGCUCUGUCACCUGUGUCUCAUCCCCCAGUGGACGGAGAGCAUAUCAGGUGAUUGGAGGGUCAGGGCUGCUGUACACCUGCUACACCUCCUGUCACUACUGCUCCUGCCCAGCCUUCGCCUACACUGUGCUCAGGAGGAACGAGAGUCUACUGUGCAAGCACAUCCUGGCCGCCUACCUCAGUCAGGCCAUGGGGCUGUCCCAGCAGGAGGCCCUGUCUGACCAGCAGAUGUCCAGCAUCCUUUCUGGGAGAGCAGCAAGAACUGACACGUAGAGCACCAGACCCCCAGGUCACUCAUCCAGACCUACAUGUAGAAGACCAGACCGCAGCUACAGACCCAGAGCACAGAGACGUAGAGCACCAGACCCCCAGGUCACUCAUCCAGACCUACAUGUAGAAGACCAGACCGCAGCUACAGACCCAGAGCACAGAGACGUAGAGCACAACCCAACAGGUCACUGAUCCAGACUCAAAGCCACACAGCACCAUCUGAGACCAAGCUACUGCAGCACAUCCUGAGGAGAGAUGUUUAAAAGGCAAAGCUGCUGUAUAGUCUCCUCCAGUCUGUCUGCAUGUGUGAAGAUGAUGGCUUUAUGGCUUUUAGGUCAUUGUGCUGUUCUUCUAGAACUCUGGUGUGGUUCUCCGCUUUCUGAAAAUCAAAAGACAACCGAUGUUGCUGUUUUUUGUGAGUGUUCAUGUUCUUAAUCUGUUCAUUGACUGUAUUUUAAGACUCUCCUUUUAUAUGAAAAUGGUUGUUAUAUGUAGGUUGUGUAAACUCUUGUAAGAAUAUGAGUCUGACUUGUAACAAUAUGAACAUUUUAUUUGUAUUUUUUAUUUAACCAGUCAAGUCAUACAUAGCUUUUAUUGACAAAAUAAUUCACCAUACAGAUUUUCUCAUGUUAAAUAGCAGUAUUGGUUUAGUUGUCAGUUGAGUGAAAUAAUAAUUGAACAUCAUUGACGUUCAGACAUUCUACUGCACUGUUGGAGCUACUAACAUAAGCUUUUCGCUGCACCUACUAUAACACCAGCAAAACUGUGUACACAACCAAUACACUUUGAUUUGAACCACAGUUAACUGUUUAGGCUACUGGUUAGCGACAUCAAUACUGUAACACAUUUGCGAACGCACAGGUUGGAAAACUACAUCAGCUUGUUCUUGUAUGGUUUUCUUCUUAAAUUGUAGGAAGGCUUCAUUCACAAGUCAGGCUUGUUGAAGGCUUUUACAACCCACUGUAUGUUGCAGGGUUGGGGCAAUUCCAUUUCAAUUCAAUCAACUCCGGAAGUAAACAAAUGCCAAUUCCACAUUUUUCUCAGUAAGAAGCAUUUGGGGAAUUGGAAUUUGAGUUUACUGAAUUGUAAUGGAAUUGAACCCUUAUCUUGAUGCUAAGGUCACAUUUGAAUGAACACAUAAUAGUAAUACCAGUAUAGUGUAGUCUCCAGUGGAAUGUACUUGAAGUUUGGCACACUCCUAUAGUUUAGCCCUUGAAGUUGUAGAGGUGAUGGUUGAUGUGUAUGGUGAAGAAAUAGAAAAACUAAGAAAUUAAACACAAUGGAAAUACUGUAUUUGUUGGACCCUGUGCUAAGACAACACUUGUCUUAAAUUCCUUUUAGAAGUUAGUGAUACUACAGAGGUUUUGUAUCAUUUCAGGAAGUAGUUUUGAAAGUAGUGCUCACUAUCGAAAACUGGUCCCCCAAAAUCUUCGCAAUGACAUUUUCACAAUGAUAUGUUACAUCCUGCAAUUUGUUUUCCUCUCCUGACGUUUAUAUGAUAAGUUACGAAUUCCAAUUCGUACAGUAUGUUUGUACAAAUUUGUAAGUGCUUAAGAUCCCGUUCAAUCUAACUUUGUGAACACAAAAACAGUACACAACACAGUUUAAUAUCACAGCAAGGAGGCCCUUCCAUAGCAGAGGAAAACCACCUUAAUUUUAGCACAGAUUGUAUGCCGUCACAUCCAAACUGGGUCUCGUUAAACUGGAUUUAUUUUGUGGAGGUCUGGUUUCCUGUUUUUGAUAGAAAACCACAUCUAAUUUCAGCCAGUUGAAAGGAAAAUAGACUGUCACAGCUUCUUAGAAAAGAGGCCAUUGUCCACAAUGCCAACCAACAAAACAAAGGCAAGCUCAUCAGUUGGUGGUCAAGUACAGGGAGAAACAUCUUCAAACCGAGAACGAUGCACUGUGUCAGACUCACUGGUACAAAAAUACAAUUUUACAACAAUGAAGCAUAUUUUUGUCUUUCACAGAACAAGCACUUGUCAACCCUACAAUCUCGUUAGGCCUAGCGUUCCCUGCAGGGUUUUUGUCAAUUCAACAUUUCUGAAUUUAAUUUGAAUAGGCCACACCCCAAAAGAAGCAGGAUUUUAAUUUCAUUUUAAUUGGAGGAAGUGGAAUAUAAUUCAAAGCAAUUCAAAAUAAAUAAAAUUGUCAUGUAAUUUAAUUAAACUUUCUUUAAUGCAAAUUCAAUUCAAUUGCUGCUUCCUAUCAGGUGUGGCCAAUUCAAAUUAAAGAAUUGAAUUGGAAUUACAGAGCAACCCCAACCCUGGAAAUUUGUUUCAUUCAACAAAGAGGGAUCUCCUCAGCAUUGCAUUGACUGAUUUGGCUUGGUGUAGUGAAGUGGUGUAUUUAGGAGUUCUUACUAAGUGAGGGGGAUGGAGCCACAUGGCUCUUAGCUGCUAUGCUAGGACAUGGGCAGACCGUACACCGUGGAAGUGGUUGAUCCUACAGUUUGACAAUAUUGAGUAUUAAAAGCUGCCUGGUUUGUUCCAGGACGCAGGAAUUUGCCAAGUGGGCAAACUAUCACAGCUAUGUCCAUGUCAGCUGUGUGUGUGUUAGUCCAUGUGAGGGUUGUAUUAUGGGCCUUCUAGGGAUGCCAAGGGAAGAGGGUGACAUUCAGAUGUGUAAUAUACAGUUGAAGUUGGAAGUUUACAUACACGUACAUUGGAGUCAUUAAAACUUGUUUUUCAACCACUCCACAAU
Molecule: RNA transcript, 3363 nt
Organism: Oncorhynchus gorbuscha (pink salmon)
Lineage: Eukaryota; Metazoa; Chordata; Actinopteri; Salmoniformes; Salmonidae
Gene: zswim7
Gene name: zinc finger, SWIM-type containing 7
Exons: 6
Source: RefSeq, a predicted model, not a curated record